UGCCUAAUACAUGCAAGUCGAGCGGUAAGGCCCCUUCGGGGGUACACGAGCGGCGGACGGCUGAGUAACACGUAGGAACGUACCCCAAACUGAGGGAUAAGCACCAGAAAUGGUGUCUAAUACCGCAUGUGCUCUUCGGAGUAAAGCUACGGCGGUUUGGGAACGGCCUGCGCAUGAUUAGCUUGUUGGUGAGGUAAUGGCUCACCAAGGCGACGAUCAUUAGCUGGUCUGAGAGGAUGAUCAGCCAGACUGGGACUGAGAACGGCCCAGACUCCUACGGGAGGCAGCAGUAGGGAAUUUUCCACAAUGGGGGCAACCCUGAUGGAGCAACGCCGCGUGCAGGAUGAAGGCCUUCGGGUUGUAAACUGC
RNAcentral lists this ribosomal RNA (369 nucleotides) under uncultured organism. RNAcentral's name for it is "bacterial SSU rRNA". It matches the Rfam family "Bacterial small subunit ribosomal RNA", at positions 45 to 433 of the family's 1533-position model. The record is from RNAcentral.